GCAGUCACCGCGACGAGCAACAAGAUGGAGGUGGAGCCGCAGGCAGGCCAGUGUCUGCUGUCCAGCCCUGGGCUCUGGGUUGGGUACGUCCUGGAGAAGGGCCUCAUCGGAGUUUUCCUCUUCUUCCUCUUCGUGCGCAGGGAGGAGCCGUGAGCUCCUGGCUGCUUUGCCGCCUUGGCCGCUUGCAAGCUUGGAGGCAGCCUCUGCCCCAGAGGCAGGAUGGAGCACGACGGUGGAGCGGUGGUGGGCUCACCAGUUGCUCCAAGCACCCCGGGCGUCUGACGGGAUCGGGCAGGGGCUCCGGACCUGGCUGCAGCCCCCCCCAGCCCGCUCCCCCCAAGCUUUGCUCUGACCCAGUUCAGGGAGCCGGGUCCCUGCAAGUGCAACGCAGCCGCGUGUCAAUCCCCGACCACGCCGUGAAGUGCCGCGGGGCCGUGCGCAGUGCGCCCAAGCGUCCUGCAGCCCCUGAGCUGUCCUGGGAGGACUGGGCGCUCUGCAGAGGGAUGCUGUGUCACGGUCUCUGUUGGCUCCUGGCACUUCUGUUUGGAAAUAAACCCUGCUAGACAUGCUCGCACCUGCCCGUGUGCAGUCCUGGCCUG
Alligator sinensis (Chinese alligator) is the source of this 599-nucleotide long non-coding RNA. RefSeq lists it as uncharacterized. The transcript is spliced from 3 exons. The record is from RefSeq and is a predicted model, not a curated record. NCBI's taxonomy places the organism in Eukaryota, Metazoa, Chordata, Crocodylia, Alligatoridae.